RNAcentral lists this unclassified non-coding RNA (184 nucleotides) under rhizosphere metagenome. Its description in RNAcentral is "partial ribosomal RNA internal transcribed spacer region". The record is from RNAcentral.
GAGUUUUCAACUCCCAAACCCAAGUGAACAUACCACUGUUGCUUCGGCGGACCGCCCCGGGUGCUGCGUGCCCCGGAACCAGGCGCCCGCCGGAGGCCUAAACUCUUGUUUUUACCAUGAAUCUUCUGAGUAGCGCAAGCAAAAAAAAUAAAUCAAAACUUUCAACAACGGAUCUCUUGGUUCU